CGGGACGGGUGAGUAACGCGUGGGUAACCUGCCUUAUACAGGGGGAUAACAGUCAGAAAUGACUGCUAAUACCGCAUAAGCGCACAGAGCUGCAUGGCUCGGUGUGAAAAACUCCGGUGGUAUAAGAUGGACCCGCGUUGGAUUAGCUAGUUGGUGAGGUAACGGCCCACCAAGGCGACGAUCCAUAGCCGGCCUGAGGGGGUGAACGGCCACAUUGGGACUGAGACACGGCCCAG
Molecule: ribosomal RNA, 236 nt
Filed under: uncultured bacterium
Lineage: Bacteria
Description: partial 16S ribosomal RNA
Rfam family: Bacterial small subunit ribosomal RNA
Source: RNAcentral